Molecule: ribosomal RNA, 501 nt
Filed under: uncultured bacterium
Lineage: Bacteria
Description: partial 16S ribosomal RNA
Rfam family: Bacterial small subunit ribosomal RNA
Source: RNAcentral
AUUGAACGCUGGCGGCAGGCUUAACACAUGCAAGUCGAGCGGGGGAAGGUAGCUUGCUACCGGACCUAGCGGCGGACGGGUGAGUAAUGCUUAGGAAUCUGCCUAUUAGUGGGGGACAACAUCUCGAAAGGGAUGCUAAUACCGCAUACGUCCUACGGGAGAAAGCAGGGGAUCUUCGGACCUUGCGCUAAUAGAUGAGCCUAAGUCGGAUUAGCUAGUUGGUGGGGUAAAGGCCUACCAAGGCGACGAUCUGUAGCGGGUCGGAGAGGAUGAUCCGCCAAACUGGGACUGAGACACGGCCCAGACUCCUACGGGAGGCAGCAGUGGGGAAUAUUGGACAAGGGGGGGAACCCUGAACCAGCCAUGCCGCGUGUGUGAAGAAGGCCUUAUGGUUGUAAAGCACUUUAAGCGAGGAGGAGGCUACUUUAGUUAAUACCUAGAGAUAGUGGACGUUACUCGCAGAAUAAGCACCGGCUAACUCUGUGCCAGCCGCCGCAGUAA